UACGAAGGGGGCUAGCGUUGCUCGGAAUCACUGGGCGUAAAGCGCACGUAGGCGGCUUUCUAAGUCAGGGGUGAAAUCCUGGAGCUCAACUCCAGAACUGCCUUAGAUACUGGAGAGCUUGAGUCCGGGAGAGGUGAGUGGAACUCCGAGUGUAGAGGUGAAAUUCGUAGAUAUUCGGAAGAACACCAGUGGCGAAGGCGGCUCACUGGCCCGGUACUGACGCUGAGGUGCGAAAGCGUGGGGAGCAAACAGG
Molecule: ribosomal RNA, 253 nt
Filed under: uncultured bacterium
Lineage: Bacteria
Description: partial 16S ribosomal RNA
Rfam family: Bacterial small subunit ribosomal RNA
Source: RNAcentral